AGUCACGCUGUAAACGAUGUCGAUUUGGAGGUUGUUCCCUUGAGGAGUGGCUUCCGGAGCUAACGCGUUAAAUCGACCGCCUGGGGAGUACGGCCGCAAGGUUAAAACUCAAAUGAAUUGACGGGGGCCCGCACAAGCGGUGGAGCAUGUGGUCUAAUUCGAUGCAACGCGAAGAACCUUACCUACUCUUGACAUCCAGAGAAUUUAGCAGAGAUGCUUUAGUGCCUUCGGGAACUCUGAGACAGGUGCUGCAUGGCUGUCGUCAGCUCGUGUUGUGAAAUGUUGGGUUAAGUCCCGCAACGAGCGCAACCCUUAUCCUUUGUUGCCAGCACAUUAUGGUGGGAACUCAAAGGAGACUGCCGGUGAUAAACCGGAGGAAGGUGGGGAUGACGUCAAGUCAUCAUGGCCCUUACGAGUAGGGCUACACACGUGCUACAAUGGCGUAUACAAAGAGAAGCGACCUCGCGAGAGCAAGCGGAACUCAUAAAGUACGUCGUAGUCCGGAUUGGAGUCUGCAACUCGACUCCAUGAAGUCGGAAUCGCUAGUAAUCGUAGAUCAGAAUGCUACGGUGAAUACGUUCCCGGGCCUUGUACACACCGCCCGUCACACCAUGGGAGUGGGUUGCAAAAGAAGUAGGUAGCUUAACCUUCGGGAGGGCGCUUACCACUUUGUGAUUCAUGACUGGGGUGAAGUCGUAACAAGGUAACCA
Molecule: ribosomal RNA, 710 nt
Filed under: uncultured Enterobacteriaceae bacterium
Lineage: Bacteria; Pseudomonadati; Pseudomonadota; Gammaproteobacteria; Enterobacterales; Enterobacteriaceae
Description: bacterial SSU rRNA
Rfam family: Bacterial small subunit ribosomal RNA
Source: RNAcentral